GGCCUUGAAAUGGACUCUCUCUUCAGAGAAUGAAACUUGGUCUAGAAUCAAUGUUUACCACUCAAGAGGAAGCUCGGGCGUAGAGCGAACAUCCCAACGGCUUCUGUCUAGCGCACAGGAGCACCGCUGUCCUGAUGUUUACAAAUGAUAAUAAAACUUGAAAAUAAAGUGGUUUCAAAAGAUAAUGAAGAGAAUACAAGGGCGUUGAUCAAGUGAUUGCACAGGAAAUUGGUGACCAUGGGUCCAACUAUUUGAGCACAAGGUAAAUAAUGCAUGGA
This 278-nucleotide long non-coding RNA is filed under the name Fukomys damarensis (Damara mole-rat). RNAcentral describes it as "lncRNA (ENSFDAG00000027975.1)". Lineage: Eukaryota; Metazoa; Chordata; Mammalia; Rodentia; Bathyergidae. The record is from RNAcentral.